UACGUAGGGGGCUAGCGUUAUCCGGAUUUACUGGGCGUAAAGGGUGCGUAGGCGGUCUUUCAAGUCAGGAGUGAAAGGCUACGGCUCAACCGUAGUAAGCUCUUGAAACUGUAAGACUUGAGUGCAGGAGAGGAGAGUGGAAUUCCUAGUGUAGCGGUGAAAUGCGUAGAUAUCGGGAGGAACACCAGUGGCGAAGGCGGGUAACUGGACUGCAACUGACGCUGAGGCGCGAAGGUGUGGGGAGCAAACAGGAUUAGAUAUCCCGGUAGUCCCU
This 274-nucleotide ribosomal RNA is filed under the name uncultured prokaryote. RNAcentral's name for it is "partial 16S ribosomal RNA". It matches the Rfam family "Bacterial small subunit ribosomal RNA", at positions 524 to 798 of the family's 1533-position model. The record is from RNAcentral.